UAGGAAGGCAGCAGUGGGGAAUAUUGCACAAUGGGCGCAAGCCUGAUGCAGCCAUGCCGCGUGUAUGAAGAAGGCCUUCGGGUUGUAAAGUACUUUCAGUCGUGAGGAAGGUGUUAAGGUUAAUAACCUUAGCAAUUGACGUUAGCGACAGAAGAAGCACCGGCUAACUCCGUGCCAGCAGCCGCGGUAAUACGGAGGGUGCGAGCGUUAAUCGGAAUUACUGGGCGUAAAGGGCACGCAGGCGGUUAAUUAAGUUGGAUGUGAAAUCCCCGGGCUUAACCUGGGAAUGGCAUUCAAGACUGGUUAGCUAGAGUCUUGUAGAGGGGGUAGAAUUCCAUGUGUAGCGGUGAAAUGCGUAGAGAUGUGGAGGAAUACCGGUGGCGAAGGCGGCCCCUGGACAAAGACUGACGCUCAUGUGCGAAAGCGUGGGGAGCAAACAGGAUUAGAUACC
Molecule: ribosomal RNA, 451 nt
Filed under: uncultured bacterium
Lineage: Bacteria
Description: bacterial SSU rRNA
Rfam family: Bacterial small subunit ribosomal RNA
Source: RNAcentral